This 273-nucleotide unclassified non-coding RNA is filed under the name uncultured Saccharomycetales. Its description in RNAcentral is "sequence contains ITS2". The record is from RNAcentral. Lineage: Eukaryota; Fungi; Ascomycota; Saccharomycetes.
AACGCACAUUGCGCCUUUUGGUAUUCCAGAAGGCAUACUUGUUUGAGCGUCAUUUCACUCUUAAAAACAUGAAUUUGUUUUUAGUCUUGAGUUUUAUUUCUCUUUUUGAGAAUAACUUGAAAUGAAUUGGCAUAAGCGAAUUUCUGAGCUUUAACAACGUAAUAGGUUUUACCAACUCGUUGACUCUAGCAAACUAAUUCAUGCUUAGGCGUAAAUAACCCAAACUUUUAAAAGUUUGACCUCAAAUCAAGCAAGAUUACCCGCUGAACUUAA